GAUGAACGCUGGCGGCGUGCCUAAUACAUGCAAGUCGAGCGAACGGACGAGAAGCUUGCUUCACUGAUGUUAGCGGCGGACGGGUGAGUAACACGUGGAUAACCUACCUAUAAGACUGGGAUAACUUCGGGAAACCAGAGCUCAUACCGGAUAAUAUUUUGAACCGCAUGGUUCAAAAGUGAAAGACGGUCUUGCUGUCACUUAUAGAUGGAUCCGCGCUGCAUUAGCUAGUUGGUAAGGUAACGGCUUACCAAGGCAACGAUGCAUAGCCGACCUGAGAGGGUGAUCGGCCACACUGGAACUGAGACACGGUCCAGACUCCUACGGGAGGCAGCAGUAGGGAAUCUUCCGCAAUGGGCGAAAGCCUGACGGAGCAACGCCGCGUGAGUGAUGAAGGUCUUCGGAUCGUAAAACUCUGUUAUUAGGGAAGAACAUAUGUGUAAGUAACUGUGCACAUCUUGACGGUACCUAAUCAGAAAGCCACGGCUAACUACGUG
Molecule: ribosomal RNA, 497 nt
Filed under: uncultured bacterium
Lineage: Bacteria
Description: partial 16S ribosomal RNA
Rfam family: Bacterial small subunit ribosomal RNA
Source: RNAcentral